Molecule: long non-coding RNA, 2009 nt
Organism: Medicago truncatula (barrel medic)
Lineage: Eukaryota; Viridiplantae; Streptophyta; Magnoliopsida; Fabales; Fabaceae
Exons: 6
Source: RefSeq, a predicted model, not a curated record
AUUUUUUUGGCUCCAUUUUAUCCUGGCCGUUAGAUCAUUGUAAUUAGGAAAAUUAGCACAUCAACCGUUAGAUCAUUUUAAUUUGAAAUUUGAAAUCCACUAUUCCCUCCUAGACUACCUUGAUUAAAGGACAUUGGUUUAAAAUGAUUAUUGAACUUCCCAUCCACAAUUAAUUGUAUUAUGUUUUCCAUGAGUCAUUUAACUACCUUCACUAAAGAUUUGCAUCGGCCCUUUUUUUUAUUAUUAGUUCAUAUCUUUUUGUCCAGCUUUCUCUCUUCCACACUUACUCUCCCUCAGUCCACCCCGCUUGCUCUUACGCUUUCUCUCUUCACUCUCUUCCAUGUCUUUUCCACUUUCACAGUCGUAUUUCUCUUCUCAUCUUUCGCCGUCGUCGACUCGACCGCCACCGUCAGCGGUGGAUUUUCUCCUGCGGCCUCCUCUCUAGCUCUCUCCGUCCAGUUGCCUCUUCCGUUUCCCGGUGGUCGAUCAAUGGCUCUGAGCGCGACAGUCACAGUGAGGCAACCAAAUACGACACACAAUUCUUUUACGACUUGGGAAGCAUUCCGGUGACGAUUCAAUUUCCACCGUUGAGUGAUGGCUCAGUGGCCCCGUAACUUUUGCAAUUGAAAUUCUAACGGUGGUGCAGCUAUAUGCAUCUUUGUGGAUGAAUGUAUGAGGUCCGGUCGUUGAAUAUGCCAGGUUGUUACUUGCUUAGUUGAAGAGACUUUGAUUUGCGGGAGGAAAUAUAUGAUAUUAGUUUUGAUUCAUGAAGUUAUCUGAUGGAUGAAGGAGAAGCUUUUGAACUAGCUCAAUGCCAUUUCAUGGUCAUCAAAACCUUGGAGGAAUAUGUGUCUCUUGCUACAGUUAUAAAAGUAGGAGAAGAUCUUCAAUGGCCUUUAACUAAAGAUGAGCCUGUGGUGAAGCUAGAUGCUCUCCAUUACAUUUGAGUGAUUUCUAUUUUUUGAAUGAAUUUUAAGUUCAUCUGAUUGAUGAAGGAGAAGCUUUUGAUAUCUAUUUGUAUCCUACUAAAUGAUUUCCAUAUUAUAUUUGUAUCUACUAAACGAUAUCUAUUGAAUGUUCUUUUUUAGUUAUAAGUUGAUUAAGGGUCCUUUAAAGUUUGCAUCUGAUUUUUUGACAUUAAUUUAUGGAGAAUCAUUGAUCUUUAAAGCGCUGACUUUUUUUUGAUGUAAAUGGUCAGUUUUUUCGAUGUAAAUCGAUCAACAAAAAGUCAAGGGCAGUCGUUAAAACAAGUUGCUACCGCACGGGUCAUAUAUAGUUGAGAACAUUUUAAUGGUUAGUAGGAGUAGACACUCUAACCUCUCUUACUGUUUGUGUUUUUGUUGGAUUGCAGGUGAAUUGGAAACUAAUUAACAGGACUUUCAUGCUAUUGUUGUUACAAGACAGUUCCCACAAUAUAUGUAUUUGUAAUCUGUUUCAUGGUAUUGAAAAUGCAUUAUGAAUUCACUUAUCUGUAUUUUUGUGUGUUUUUCAAAUGAAUUUGCAAUCUGUUUCAUGGUAUUUGCAAUCAGUUUUUUUCCAAUGGAAAACUUUAUGUUGCGGUUUCUAGAGUUACCUCAAGAAAAGGAUUGAAAAUUCUAUUGGCACAUGAAGAUGGUAACUGUAUGAAUACUACAUCAAAUGUUGUGUAUAAAGAAGUAUUCCGUAAUCUGUAGUCAAUCCUGCUGUAUGAUUGUGAUGCUACUUUGAUAGGUUAAGUUCAAUAUGCAGCAGAAGGCUAUUGGCUAUUUGUGCGUCAUUCAGAAUCAGUUAUAUGAAUUGGAAAGUUAUUUACAUGACUUUAAUUUGAUCAUCAUUGUUAGAAGUAGAGGAAGCAGAUAUUAUGAAAUUGUAAUCUGUCAAAUGGUAGUGAACAUGAAAUGUGCAUAGGCAUUGGAUGAUGGAAAUGUAUAUUGUAAUUAUUGUAAUUACAAUUAUUAAUCGCCGUAUUUAGUUAUUGUAAUUACUCACGUGCAAUAUUGACAAGUUUUGUAUCCAAUUUCGUGGUUUAA